This 431-nucleotide ribosomal RNA is filed under the name uncultured bacterium. Its description in RNAcentral is "bacterial SSU rRNA". It matches the Rfam family "Bacterial small subunit ribosomal RNA", at positions 209 to 632 of the family's 1533-position model. The record is from RNAcentral.
GACCUUAUGCUUUUGGAGCGGCCGAUGUCUGAUUAGCUAGUUGGUAAGGUAAAGGCUUACCAAGGCGACGAUCAGUAGUUGGUCUGAGAGGACGACCAGCCACACUGGGACUGAGACACGGCCCAGACUCCUACGGGAGGCAGCAGUGGGGAAUUUUGGACAAUGGGCGAAAGCCUGAUCCAGCAAUGCCGCGUGAGUGAAGAAGGCCUUCGGGUUGUAAAGCUCUUUCAGUUGAGAAGAAAAAGUUACGACUAAUAAUCGUGAUCCAUGACGGUAUCGACAGAAGAAGCACCGGCUAACUACGUGCCAGCAGCCGCGGUAAUACGUAGGGUGCGAGCGUUAAUCGGAAUUACUGGGCGUAAAGGGUGCGCAGGCGGUUCUGUAAGUCAGAUGUGAAAUCCCCGGGCUUAACCUGGGAACUGCGUUUGAAA